This 445-nucleotide ribosomal RNA is filed under the name uncultured bacterium. RNAcentral describes it as "partial 16S ribosomal RNA". It matches the Rfam family "Bacterial small subunit ribosomal RNA", at positions 354 to 796 of the family's 1533-position model. The record is from RNAcentral.
GUGAGGAAUAUUGGUCAAUGGGCGCAAGCCUGAACCAGCCAUGCCGCGUGCAGGAAGACGGUCCUAUGGAUUGUAAACUGCUUUUAUUUGGGAAUAAACCUCCUUACGUGUAGGGAGCUGAAGGUACCAAAUGAAUAAGCACCGGCUAACUCCGUGCCAGCAGCCGCGGUAAUACGGAGGGUGCAAGCGUUAUCCGGAAUCAUUGGGUUUAAAGGGUCCGCAGGCGGUCAUAUAAGUCAGUGGUGAAAGCCUACAGCUCAACUGUAGAACUGCCAUUGAUACUGUAUGACUUGAAUUCGAUCGAAGUGGGCGGAAUGUGACAUGUAGCGGUGAAAUGCUUAGAUAUGUCACAGAACACCGAUAGCGAAGGCAGCUCACUAGGUCUGGAUUGACGCUCAGGGACGAAAGCGUGGGGAGCAAACAGGAUUAGAAACCCUUGUAGUCC